GACGAACGCUGGCGGCGUGCUUAACACAUGCAAGUCGAACGGAAAGGCCCCUUUGGGGGUACUCGAGUGGCGAACGGGUGAGUAACACGUGAGUAACCUGCCCUUGACUUCGGGAUAACUUCAGGAAACUGGGGCUAAUACCGGAUAGGAAUCCUUGCUGCAUGGUGGGGGUUGGAAAGCUUCGGCGGUUUUGGAUGGACUCGCGGCUUAUCAGCUUGUUGGUGGGGUAGCGGCUUACCAAGGCUUUGACGGGUAGCCGGCCUGAGAGGGCGACCGGCCACAUUGGGACUGAGAUACGGCCCAGACUCCUACGGGAGGCAGCAGUGGGGAAUAUUGCACAAUGGGCGGAAGCCUGAUGCAGCAACGCCGCGUGCGGGAUGACGGCCUUCGGGUUGUAAACCGCUUUCAGCAGGGGCGAAGCUUUUGUGACGGUACCUGCAGAAGAAGCACCGGCUAACUACGUG
Molecule: ribosomal RNA, 464 nt
Filed under: uncultured bacterium
Lineage: Bacteria
Description: partial 16S ribosomal RNA
Rfam family: Bacterial small subunit ribosomal RNA
Source: RNAcentral